AUAGUGGAAUGAAAAGGAAAAGGAAGGGGAAAAAACAACGAAGAUUCUCACUGUUAGAACAUUUUAUCCAAAAAAAAAACAAAGUUGGGGAAAGGGGGGAAAGAAGUUUUGAGAAGCAAAAAUCGAAGGGAAACA
Molecule: non-coding RNA, 135 nt
Filed under: Chloropicon mariensis
Lineage: Eukaryota; Viridiplantae; Chlorophyta; Chloropicophyceae; Chloropicales; Chloropicaceae
Source: RNAcentral